RNAcentral lists this ribosomal RNA (887 nucleotides) under uncultured marine bacterium. RNAcentral describes it as "bacterial SSU rRNA". It matches the Rfam family "Bacterial small subunit ribosomal RNA", at positions 70 to 958 of the family's 1533-position model. The record is from RNAcentral.
UAACGGGGAAGCUUGCUUCCGCCGACGACCGGCGCACGGGUGCGUAACGCGUAUACAAUCUACCUUGUACUGGGGUAUAGCCUUUAGAAAUGAAGAUUAAUCCCCCAUGGUCUCUUAGAGUGGCAUCACUUCUAGAGUAAAGGUUACGGUAUAAGAUGAGUAUGCGUUCUAUUAGUUUGUUGGUGUGGUAACGGCACACCAAGACUACGAUAGAUAGGGGCCCUGAGAGGGGGAUCCCCCACACUGGUACUGAAACACGGACCAGACUCCUACGGGAGGCAGCAGUGAGGAAUAUUGGACAAUGGAGGCAACUCUGAUCCAGCCAUGCCGCGUGCAGGAAGACUGCCCUAUGGGUUGUAAACUGCUUUUAUACAGGAAGAAACACCUCUACGUGUAGAGGCUUGACGGUACUGUAAGAAUAAGGAUCGGCUAACUCCGUGCCAGCAGCCGCGGUAAUACGGAGGAUCCAAGCGUUAUCCGGAAUCAUUGGGUUUAAAGGGUCCGUAGGUGGAUAAUUAAGUCAGAGGUGAAAUCUUGCAGCUCAACUGUAAAAUUGCCUUUGAAACUGGUUGUCUUGAGUUAUUAUGAAGUAGUUAGAAUAUGUAGUGUAGCGGUGAAAUGCAUAGAUAUUACAUAGAAUACCAAUUGCGAAGGCAGAUUACUAAUAAUCAACUGACACUGAUGGACGAAAGCGUGGGUAGCGAACAGGAUUAGAUACCCUGGUAGUCCACGCCGUAAACGAUGGUUACUAGCUGUUUGGACUUCGGUCUGAGUGGCUAAGCGAAAGUGAUAAGUAACCCACCUGGGGAGUACGUUCGCAAGAAUGAAACUCAAAGGAAUUGACGGGGGCCCGCACAAGCGGUGAGCAUGUGGUUUAAUUCGAUGAU